This 329-nucleotide ribosomal RNA is filed under the name fungal sp. CL008. RNAcentral describes it as "LSU rRNA". It matches the Rfam family "Eukaryotic large subunit ribosomal RNA", at positions 331 to 670 of the family's 3401-position model. Lineage: Eukaryota; Fungi. The record is from RNAcentral.
AGACCGAUAGCGAACAAGUACCGUGAGGGAAAGAUGAAAAGCACUUUGGAAAGAGAGUUAAACAGUACGUGAAAUUGCUGAAAGGGAAACGCUUGAAGUCAGUCGCGUUAGCUAGAACUCAACCACGGCUUGCUUGGCGUAUUUUCUAGUUAACGGGCCAGCAUCAGUUUUGACCGCAGGAAAAGGGCCAGGGAAAUGUGGCAUCUUCGGAUGUGUUAUAGUCUCUGGUCGUAUACUGUGAUUGGGACUGAGGACCGCAGCACGCGCAAGCUGUGCUUAGGAUGCUGGCGUAAUGGCUUUAAACGACCCGUCUUGAAACACGGACCAAG